CUUGCCUGGAGGAUCUCAUUGGGAUGGUAGAUGACAUUACCAAGUGGGACUGCAAGAACUUCAGAAGACAAUCUACCUAGGCCUACAAGAACAUGUCUCCAGCCAAUACCACCAAAGUCAUGUUAUUCCAGACAUACUGUCUCCUCGGUGAGCUGCAGCUACGGACGCAGGAUCUAGAAAAGGCCUUUAAGCCAUCCUUCACGCUGAAAAUGAUAACUGAAGACCCCAGAGUCUUGAAAAUCUGAAGUUUGAGAUUUUGGCCAAAUUAAGUAAUCUAGAUGGGCCAGCUGAGGAGGUGGAAUAGCAUUCUGGAAGUGUCUUAAAUAAACAACAAGCCUUCUCUGA
Ornithorhynchus anatinus (platypus) is the source of this 345-nucleotide long non-coding RNA. RefSeq lists it as uncharacterized. The transcript has 2 exons. The record is from RefSeq and is a predicted model, not a curated record. NCBI's taxonomy places the organism in Eukaryota, Metazoa, Chordata, Mammalia, Monotremata, Ornithorhynchidae.